AGGGAAGGGGCGGAAGUUACCGCGGUUUGGGGAGUCGGUGGGGUCCCGCCGCGACUGGGCUCGAGUUUACGACGGUUGUCUUUUCUCGGCUCGUCCGCUCUUCACGUUUAUUCAAAAAGUGUUGGCUAGCGCCACUGUGACCCCGACAAAUAUCCACGACUCCUGCCGUUAUGGAGUUUACCGAGGGGUGGAGGGAGGCAGACAUUAAUCAGGAGGGGAAGGGUCCCCGCAGGCCAGCAGCUCUUUGCUCCCCUCCCGCACCCUGAGGCAACCGGAGGCCUCUCCUUGAGCCCCAGCGUGGGGCCCGGAGCCUAGUGAGGCAGUUCCGAGAAGCACAGAUUGGGAAACGGAGGCUCCAGCAAAGACGGUCCGGCCUGAUCGCAUCGUGCUGCUCGCGAGGACUAGAUCCAAGGUGGACCGGAAGCUCACGUGCUCUUCUAAGACACUAGAUGAAAACAGUAAAGUUCUUUGAAAAAAAAAACUCCUUUGUUUCAAAAGGAAGAAUGUGGAGUCUAGCUCAGCAGGUCCUGCUCUGAAUGGGUGACAUCAUGGAGCAGAGCACCGGCUCUGGUAUGAACUCAGGAACUCACUCACGUUCUGUAAAGAAGCUUUGCCCAAGAGCAGUAUAGUCCUCAUGGCAGCGGCACAGACACAUAAGAAAUUUAACAGAAAGAUCAUCUUGCUGGUAGAUAAAAAAAACAGUAGAAGGAGCCCAGCAUAACCAGGACUGCCAAAAGUAAAGGGGAAGCCAAAAAGGAGAGAGUCAGAAAAGGCAGAAACUUUAAAUUCUGUGUACAGACUCGGCUCAAGUCUCUGGCAGAUCCCCUCGAACCAUGCAUGUGUUGGGCUACAUGAAAGAAGUUUGCAGCCAAGGCUUCAAGAACAGAACCGAGAUCUGAGCCAUCGCCCACUAGAGCACGGCAGGGUGGAGGCGGGGCUAACCAAAUCCACUGCCUAAAACAAAAACCUCAGCGCCGUUCGGAAUAAUAAAACAAUCCAAAGUCUCCACAAUAGAACCUUUCCAGUGUCCAGGUUAUAAUCCACAGUUACUGAAUUUGUGAAGAGUGAGGAAAAUAGGACCCAUUUCCAAGGAGAAAGUGAACCAACAGAUGCUAAUCCCAAGAGGACCUGGAUGUUGGACUUUUCACACAAGGACUUUCAAGCAGCUUUUCUAACUACGCUCAGUGAGGGGAACAAUAAUUUGAAUUAUCACAGAAGUCUCCUCAAAAAGCAUGGAAGUCAGAAGACACACUAUGAGAAAGAAACUUGUCCCUGAACACUCUGGGAUUCAGUCAUGAAUGUGAAAGGAAGAGCUCACUUUCAGAUCAAGAAAAACUAAGUUAAUUUGUCCCCAUGCUGCUAUACUAUACAGAAUGCUACAUAAAAGGUCUUCAGGCUGCAGAGCGUUGAUAUCAGAGAGAAACAGAUUUUCAGGAAUGAGUGAAGAACAUCAGCAAUAAAUACUGUGUGAGUAAAUAUGAAAGACUAUAUUUUCUCUUAAUUUCUCUAAAGUACAUGUGACUAUUAAAGCAAAAAGUAUAACAAUGUAUUGUGGGUUUAUAGUGCAUGCAAAUGUGAUACCUAUAAUAACUAUGACAGCGGGGGGGAAUGGACAUAUUUUGCAAGAUUUCUACAUUUUACACAAAGUAGUACAAUAUUACUUUUAAGUGGACUAUGAACAGUUAAUAAUAUGUCGUGAUACGCAGAGUGAUGGCUAAUAUAUUAGAGAAAAGACACAGCAAAAUGCCAAUAGAUAUAUUAAAAUGGGAUUCUAAAAAACAAAUAAUCCAAAAGAAAACAAGAAAAAGGGAACAAACUAAGCAAAACAAACCAGAGGGAGUAAACAGAAAACAAAUAACGACAGACCUGAAUCCAGUCAUACCGAUUAUUAAAUGUCAAUGGACUGUACACUCCAAUGAGAGAGACUAUCAGAAUAUAUUU
Long non-coding RNA from Lutra lutra (Eurasian river otter), 1941 nucleotides. RefSeq lists it as uncharacterized. Lineage: Eukaryota; Metazoa; Chordata; Mammalia; Carnivora; Mustelidae. The record is from RefSeq and is a predicted model, not a curated record. The transcript is spliced from 6 exons.